This 71-nucleotide transfer RNA is filed under the name Loxodonta africana (African savanna elephant). It matches the Rfam family "tRNA". From Rfam's summary of the family: Transfer RNA (tRNA) molecules are approximately 80 nucleotides in length. The record is from Rfam by way of RNAcentral. Lineage: Eukaryota; Metazoa; Chordata; Mammalia; Proboscidea; Elephantidae.
GCAGUGGUGGUUCAGUGGUAGAAUUCUUGCCUUCCAUGUGAGAGACCUGGGUUCGAUUCCUUGCUAACCCA